This 256-nucleotide ribosomal RNA is filed under the name uncultured bacterium. Its description in RNAcentral is "partial 16S ribosomal RNA". It matches the Rfam family "Bacterial small subunit ribosomal RNA", at positions 524 to 776 of the family's 1533-position model. The record is from RNAcentral.
UACGAAGGGGGGCUAGCGUUGCUCGGAAUGACUGGGCGUAAAGGGCGCGUAGGCGGUUUGUACAGUCAGAUGUGAAAUUCCUGGGCUCAACCUGGGGGCUGCAUUUGAUACGUAUGGACUGGAGUGAGGAAGAGGGUCGUGGAAUUCCCAGUGUAGAGGUGAAAUUCGUAGAUAUUGGGGAAAGAACACCGGUGGCGAAGGCGGCGACCUGGUCCUUUACUGACGCUGAGGCGCGAAAGCGUGGGGAGCAAACAGG